This is a non-coding RNA of Salvelinus sp. IW2-2015, 274 nucleotides long. The record is from RefSeq and is a predicted model, not a curated record. NCBI's taxonomy places the organism in Eukaryota, Metazoa, Chordata, Actinopteri, Salmoniformes, Salmonidae.
UCGACGUCAACGAGACGGGAGACUCAACACCCGCCUAACAGAGACAUCUAUAAGAUCAACGAGGGGAUAGGUGACAAGGUGGGCAUGUUGAUCCAGUCCUUCACCACCUUCAUCGCUUCCUUCAUCAUCGGCUUCAGCAAAGGAUGGAGCUCACCCUUGUCAUCCUGCUGUCAGUCCUGUGCUGGGCUCUCUCUGCUUUUAUAUUCAGCAAGGUACUGACGUCCUUCACAUCCCUGGAGCAGAGUGCUUAUGCUAAAGCUGGAGCCGUGGUGAG